RNAcentral lists this ribosomal RNA (429 nucleotides) under Triticum aestivum (bread wheat). RNAcentral's name for it is "partial small subunit ribosomal RNA". Lineage: Eukaryota; Viridiplantae; Streptophyta; Magnoliopsida; Poales; Poaceae. The record is from RNAcentral.
AUGGACGGCGAUGCUCAUCUCGUCUCGUUCCUUGAUCUUCACCCUGAACUCGCCGAGGAGCGGCGGCGCCCCGAACCGUCCUCUUUCCAUAAAACUGAGGUUGAGGAGCAUGCUAGCGAGGUUAGCAGUAGUGAGGGCUCUGUAACUGUGGAUCUGUCAGAAUCCACUGCCCAAGCGCUGAAUGACAUACCUCCUACACUUCAGUCGACCUAUUGGUCCAAUGUGCGUUAUGAUACUGGCAGCAGCGAGACUGAGUCGGAAACUGUGGUGGAGAAGCCUGAAGAAGAGUCAGAUUUUGAUUUGGACAAGGAACUGCAAGAAAUGGAGGAUUGCUUGAAAGAGAAUACAUGCGACACUAUAAGCGAAGUGAUGGCUAUGAUUUUCGGUGUAGAUUGUUCGGGUCUAGCUGCUAAGUACGACAAUAUGUAG